This 253-nucleotide ribosomal RNA is filed under the name uncultured bacterium. Its description in RNAcentral is "partial 16S ribosomal RNA". It matches the Rfam family "Bacterial small subunit ribosomal RNA", at positions 524 to 776 of the family's 1533-position model. The record is from RNAcentral.
UACGUAGGUGACAAGCGUUGUCCGGAUUUACUGGGCGUAAAGAGCGCGCAGGCGGUCGAUCAAGUCGAGUGUGAAAGCCCCCGGCUCAACUGGGGAGGGUCAUUCGAAACUGAUCGACUUGUAGGCAGGAGAGGGUAGUGGAAUUCCCGGUGUAGUGGUGAAAUGCGUAGAUAUCGUGAGGAAGACCAGUGGCGAAGGCGAUUCUCUGGGCAGUUCCUGACACUGAGGCACGAAGGCUAGGGGAGCAAACGGG